UGCUCAGGCUGCACCAUCAGGGGGGCCUGAUGAAAAACUGGGCUGGCUUACUCAAUCAAAGACAUCACUAAUUGAGGAAUUUCAAACAGGAAUGUGGGCGAAGCUUUUUUAGACAGUUGA
Long non-coding RNA from Etheostoma cragini (Arkansas darter), 120 nucleotides. RefSeq lists it as uncharacterized. The transcript is spliced from 3 exons. Lineage: Eukaryota; Metazoa; Chordata; Actinopteri; Perciformes; Percidae. The record is from RefSeq and is a predicted model, not a curated record.